CUAGUAACGGCGAGCGAACCGGAAAGAGCCCAGCUUGAAAAUCGGGGCGCCUCGCGCCCCGAAUUGUAGUCUGGAGAAGCUCCCUCUGCGGCGCACCGGGCCCAAGUCCCCUGGAAAGGGGCGUCAGAGAGGGUGACAACCCCGUCGAGCCCGGAGCGUGCCGCUCCACGAGGAGCUGUCUGCGAGUCGGGCUGUUUGGGAAUGCAGCCCUAAGCGGGAGGUAAAUUCCUUCCAAGGCUAAAUAUGGGCAAGAGACCGAUAGCGAACAAGUACCGCGAGGGAAAGAUGAAAAGGACUUUGAAAAGAGAGUUAAAAAGUGCUUGAAAUUGCUGGGAGGGAAGCGAAUGGAAGCUGCGGGUGCGCCCCGGUUGGAUGUGGAACGGCCCUUAAACAAGGCUGGUCCGCCGCUCAACGCGGGGCGCUGGUCAGCGUGGGCCUUCGCGCCGGGACAAGAGCGGGACUUCGCGUCCCGUCUAUGCCGGUGCGGGGGCCGAGGAACGAAGCGCGCGCCCCCUCCGGGGGGCGUGGGGCUCGCCCCAACUGCGCGCUCGGGACGCUGGCGUAUUGAGCUCUUCAUCCGACCCGUCUUGAAACACGGACCAAGGAGUCUAACAUGUAUGCGAGCCGGUGGGCGGCAAACCCAUUGAGGCGCAAGUAACCUGACAGGUGGGACCCCGACCGCAAGGA
Molecule: ribosomal RNA, 687 nt
Filed under: Tetraplodon mnioides
Lineage: Eukaryota; Viridiplantae; Streptophyta; Bryopsida; Splachnales; Splachnaceae
Description: partial 26S ribosomal RNA
Rfam family: Eukaryotic large subunit ribosomal RNA
Source: RNAcentral